GUUUUAAUAGUUUAUACAAAACGUUGGUCUUGUAAACCAAAAAAGAAAGCAAUUUCUUAAAGCU
RNAcentral lists this transfer RNA (64 nucleotides) under Caenis sp. JYZ-2018. RNAcentral describes it as "tRNA-Thr". It matches the Rfam family "tRNA". From Rfam's summary of the family: Transfer RNA (tRNA) molecules are approximately 80 nucleotides in length. Their secondary structure includes four short double-helical elements and three loops (D, anti-codon, and T loops). Further hydrogen bonds mediate the characteristic L-shaped molecular structure. tRNAs have two regions of fundamental functional importance: the anti-codon, which is responsible for specific mRNA codon recognition, and the 3' end, to which the tRNAs corresponding amino acid is attached (by aminoacyl-tRNA synthetases). tRNAs cope with the degeneracy of the genetic code in two manners: having more than one tRNA (with a specific anti-codon) for a particular amino acid; and 'wobble' base-pairing, i.e. permitting non-standard base-pairing at the 3rd anti-codon position. The record is from RNAcentral. Lineage: Eukaryota; Metazoa; Arthropoda; Insecta; Ephemeroptera; Caenidae.